UGGCUCAGUGGUUAAGAGCACUGGCAGCUUGCUCUUCCAGAGGUCCUGAGUUCAAUUCUCAG
RNAcentral lists this transfer RNA (62 nucleotides) under Mus musculus (house mouse). It matches the Rfam family "tRNA", at positions 8 to 63 of the family's 71-position model. From Rfam's summary of the family: Transfer RNA (tRNA) molecules are approximately 80 nucleotides in length. RNAcentral also lists the same sequence under 1 other name. The record is from Rfam by way of RNAcentral. Lineage: Eukaryota; Metazoa; Chordata; Mammalia; Rodentia; Muridae.